GACGAACGCUGGCGGCGUGCUUAACACAUGCAAGUCGAACGAGAGCGUAGAGAAAGCUUGCUUUUUCUACAAUCUAGUGGCAAACGGGUGAGUAACGCGUAAACAACCUGCCCUACGGAUGGGGGCAACAGCUGGAAACGGCUGCUAAUACCGAAUACGUUCCGAAAGUCGCAUGACUAUCGGAAGAAAGGAUGGCCUCUAUUUAUAAGCUAUCGCCGGAGGAGGGGUUUGCGUCUGAUUAGCUAGUUGGAGGGGUAACGGCCCACCAAGGCGACGAUCAGUAGCCGGUCUGAGAGGAUGAACGGCCACAUUGGAACUGAGACACGGUCCAGACUCCUACGGGAGGCAGCAGUGGGGAAUCUUCCGCAAUGGGCGAAAGCCUGACGGAGCAACGCCGCGUGAGUGAAGACGGCCUUCGGGUUGUAAAGCUCUGUUAUACGGGACGAAUAAUCUUGUGGUUAAUACCCAUGAGAAGUGACGGUACCGUAAGAGAAAGCCACGGCUAACUACGUG
RNAcentral lists this ribosomal RNA (513 nucleotides) under uncultured bacterium. Its description in RNAcentral is "partial 16S ribosomal RNA". It matches the Rfam family "Bacterial small subunit ribosomal RNA", at positions 28 to 507 of the family's 1533-position model. The record is from RNAcentral.